RNAcentral lists this ribosomal RNA (401 nucleotides) under uncultured bacterium. RNAcentral's name for it is "bacterial SSU rRNA". It matches the Rfam family "Bacterial small subunit ribosomal RNA", at positions 28 to 432 of the family's 1533-position model. The record is from RNAcentral.
GAUGAACGCUAGCGGCAUGCCUUACACAUGCAAGUCGAACGGCAGCACGGGAGCAAUCCUGGUGGCGAGUGGCGAACGGGUGAGUAAUAUAUCGGAACGUGCCCAGUCGUGGGGAUAACGUAGCGAAAGCUACGCUAAUACCGCAUACGAUCUAUGGAUGAAAGCGGGGGAUCGCAAGACCUCGCGCGAUUGGAGCGGCCGAUAUCAGAUUAGGUAGUUGGUGAGGUAAAGGCUCACCAAGCCGACGAUCUGUAGCUGGUCUGAGAGGACGACCAGCCACACUGGGACUGAGACACGGCCCAGACUCCUACGGGAGGCAGCAGUGGGGGAAUUUUUGGACAAUGGGCGCAAGCCUGAUCCAGCAAUGCCGCGUGCAGGAUGAAGGCCUCGGUUGUAACGUA